RNAcentral lists this ribosomal RNA (468 nucleotides) under uncultured bacterium. RNAcentral's name for it is "partial 16S ribosomal RNA". It matches the Rfam family "Bacterial small subunit ribosomal RNA", at positions 28 to 507 of the family's 1533-position model. The record is from RNAcentral.
GACGAACGCUGGCGGCGUGCUUAACACAUGCAAGUCGAACGGAAAGGCCCUGCUUUUGUGGGGUGCUCGAGUGGCGAACGGGUGAGUAACACGUGAGUAACCUGCCCUUGACUUUGGGAUAACUUCAGGAAACUGGGGCUAAUACCGGAUAGGAGCUCCUGCUGCAUGGUGGGGGUUGGAAAGUUUCGGCGGUUGGGGAUGGACUCGCGGCUUAUCAGCUUGUUGGUGGGGUAGUGGCUUACCAAGGCUUUGACGGGUAGCCGGCCUGAGAGGGUGACCGGCCACAUUGGGACUGAGAUACGGCCCAGACUCCUACGGGAGGCAGCAGGGGGGAAUAUUGCACAAUGGGCGGAAGCCUGAUGCAGCAACGCCGCGUGCGGGAUGAAGGCCUUCGGGUUGGAAACCGCUUUCGCCUGUGACGAAGCGUGAGUGACGGUAAUGGGUAAAGAAGCACCGGCUAACUACGUG